Molecule: long non-coding RNA, 992 nt
Organism: Carassius auratus (goldfish)
Lineage: Eukaryota; Metazoa; Chordata; Actinopteri; Cypriniformes; Cyprinidae
Exons: 3
Source: RefSeq, a predicted model, not a curated record
GUAAAUCAUUGAAUCAUUCACGAAACCGAUUCCUUCAAAGCAAUAAUUCAUUCAGGAAUGAAAACUAAAGACACACAACGGUCAUUCGACUGUGGAAUAGAAGCAACUGUCGACAUUGUAUCUAAAAUUGUUCCCAGAAGAGUGGGCCUUCAGACGCUUCUUGAGGAUUUCAAUGGAUUCUGCUGUUCAGGUAUUGUCUUGAAGCUGAUUGGGACGCCUUCUGAAUGGCAUUCUGUAAGCAGGUGUGAAGGGGCUCUAGCCAAGUGUGUCGUCUCCCAGCUUCCCUCAUGGCCGGAGCAGAGCGAGGGGGAGGACAGCCCUUGACAGCAGUGACUGCGGGAGUGACGUGGUCCCGCCGCUGCGCAUCUGUAAUCACCGGACCGGGACCCGAAGCUUGUGGCUGCAAGAACUGAACAACCUGCGCUUAACUGUGAUGUAUUUGAUCGAUUUUGGCGCGGAAACGAGAUGGAAUUGAUUACUGCAGUGACACCUCUUUAAAAUGCAUCCUUGGUCAUUAUGAAGAAUAUGCAAUUAAGCAAAGAUCAAGAAUGCGACUAAAUAUUACAGUUCAGUCAAUGAAAAGUCACAUUUGGUCAAACACGUAAGAUUUAUUCAAUAAAUUCAAGAGCGGUGUCAGUAAUUUGAAUUUGGUGUCAUUUUGUCAGUUGAUGUUCGUCGUGCGCAACACAAAUAAGGCGGAUUUGGCGCCCUGAGCUAACUUGCCAUGGCUACUUCGGUUGAACUGGAGACUUCUGUUCGCGAACCUCUGUUGUUUAGUGCAUUCUGUCCUAACUUGAAAUCUCACUUUAAGGGAACUUUUUAAUACGCGCUUUUUAAACCCUCACACCAAACUUUGUUUUGACUUCCUUUGAUAGUAUUGAAGUUGUGAUUACAGAGCCUUAUAAUUCGCACCAUGCGUUUAAUAUUUUUUAAAGACAUAAAGCUAAAAAAAAUUGAGAAAAUUGUAAUACUAUAUGAAUACCCCCCCCCCC